AUAGGAUUGCUAAAAUCGUGCAGUGUGUAGAAGGCUUUAGAUAAGUUAGGUGUAUGGAUGUUAUUUUCCACCAUUUACCUUUUUUUGCUCUUUCUUUUCUUUGAGAGACUGUUUGUGAUCGGCAAAAAUUGUUGUUUGUCUAAACGACGGGACAUUUCUCAUCUGUUACCUAGCUAGUUUUCUCUCGUGCCUGCAGCGGACAAAACUGCGCUUGAACCCCGGACCAGUGAGAUCGACUAAGAUUAUUUUCUUCUUUUCCUUUUGUUUUAUCUCUCAAUGUUGUUUAUGAGGAAUGUAAGUUAAUUUAAUUCAUACAGCAGCCGCGAUUGCAAUGGAGGAGAGACGAUAGUGGCGCUAAAAUGGUGAGUGCGAUAAUUUAACGACCACGUUUAAUAGACAUGGCUGUUUUUAAAAAAAAAUAAGUUUAAAAUAAUUAAAGGUAUGAAUACAAAAACGGAUGAAUAUACUUUUGUUCAAUCAAGGUUCAGAGCCCUCUUAACGACUAUCUUGUUUUCGAAGGAAGAAGAAAUGGAAGAGAUGCUUUAGAAGUGUUAAAUAUGGCCCUCAUAACUGUGAAAAGAGAGCACAGCUAACGUUAUAUAAACAUUAUCCCCGGUUUCACAGGUCAGUCUCAGACUAAAAUGCAUGUUCAAGCUGUCUCAACUGAAAAUAUCUUUUACUGGCACAUCUUAAAAUAUGUCAGUGGCAUUGUCGUGUCUCAAGAUGCACACCAGUAAAGUUCUUAAGGCAUUUUUAUAGAAGUUAUUUAAAUAUCCUAAUUUAACUAAGGCCUAGACCUGGCUUAAACUAAGCUCUGUCUGUGAAACCCUGUCUCUAUGUUCAAACAUGGAUGUUAUACACGAACGAAACAAUGUUGUUGUUCACAUCAGGCAUGUACAUACAUUUAAAUUACUUUAUGCGCUAAAAUGUACACUUAUAUCACCUCACAGCAGAACUCCAGAUCAGCUGUAUGUCAUGUGUGUUAACUGAGACCUGUUCUGAGGAGGAUCACUUUAUUGACAGACACACUGUACAGUUAAAUGUAAACCCUUAAGUCAGAUGCCAUUAUAAAGACUGUAACGUUAAUGUUUGCUCUUCACAGAAAAGUUGUCAAUGACAACAGUUGUCCUGACAUCACCCAAAGUAAACCAGGACGCAGAUGACAAGACAGACUCCAGUAAGAAUUAUCAGCGUUGAUCAAGAAAGUUCAGAUCUAACCCAUCUAGAGUGGGAGACAUCUUGAAAGGAAACUUUGUAAUGGCUGAACCGACUGAUCUCAGGCCUUCUAUGUCCAUUUUUUCAGACUGUUUUAUGCUCUGCACCUGGACUAAGUGUUUGAAAAGCACUUUAUAUUUUAUUCAGCAGGUAAUGCUCAACCUUGGAAAAAGGUGAGUUAGCACCUAAAAUUCAGUACUGCCAAUACUGUGAACUCAGAGUGGAAUAAAACCAUAGAGUUUUGA
Molecule: long non-coding RNA, 1460 nt
Organism: Cyprinus carpio (common carp)
Lineage: Eukaryota; Metazoa; Chordata; Actinopteri; Cypriniformes; Cyprinidae
Exons: 2
Source: RefSeq, a predicted model, not a curated record